UGUAAGAAAUGCAAACAGUGUUAUAAAUGAUAGCGACAGUGACACAGAAAGACAGCAAGAACCAGCUGCAACGAAGAGGCAGAAAGCAGCAUCUAAAAAUGCUGAGCAAUCAAAGCGAUCAACCAAUCUGGCUAACAUGAUAAAGGAAAGAUACAGGAAGGAAAGUCUUAAAUUAUUUGAUGGCAACAGUGUAUGUGAUGAAGAUUGCAAACAUUUAAGAGAAAAUAGAACGCUUCUGGCAACAAUCAAACACCUAAAAAGUGAAAAUGAAAGACUUCGGGAACAAAUCGAAAGUAGUGAUGAUUUAAAAGUUUCUUUGAGAAAACUGAAGAAGUAUGUGGCAUCCUUGGAAGGCUUUUCAAACCAAGCACUAAAAUUUGGUUCACAACAGAGCGUACAAGCAUACGAGCCUUCCGCAAGAUUGUCUCCUUUGACAACCAUGGAUCAUGGAAGAUCGUCUCCUAUUUCAUGUGUGUCAAGCUCAUCAACCAGAUCUUCUCCCACAUCGAUGAGUGGUUUUUCAGAAUUUGCUACAGAGGAACCAACCGUAAUUGCAAUUAGCGAAGACAACUUGUUGAAAGACAAAAGUAAGGAAAUACAAGGCUGUGAUGAUGACAACUAGGUCCAGGAGUUAGAGAAGGACACAUAUGCUUCCUCAAAAAUUUGUGGAAGUGACGAACAGUCUGGAUUGGCUGAUGUUAUGGCAGAUAAGGUUGUUCUCGGACCAGGCUUGUCGAUUUCAAAGAAUGUGCUUCAACGAAUAAAGACGAAGAAAGUAGGAUCAUUUAUCGCAAACCUGAUGGGAGCAACACUCACAAGAGAGUACAUGGCGACACACAGUUACAAAGGGCAGAAAGGGAAGAAUGGGCAAACAAAGCCAAAGCUUGAUCCAAACUACACAGCUUCCCUAAUAAAAUACGCCAAGAGUGUAAGAUACACCGAACUUCAGCGGCCUGUUAUUGACGAGGACAUUGUCAAAGCUAUCAAGUUUAAACUGAACAAUGAGGAACAGGCGUUCAAAAAGCAACAAGAAUAAC
This 1037-nucleotide long non-coding RNA is filed under the name Dendronephthya gigantea. Its description in RNAcentral is "uncharacterized LOC114536514". Lineage: Eukaryota; Metazoa; Cnidaria; Anthozoa; Malacalcyonacea; Nephtheidae. The record is from RNAcentral.